This is a long non-coding RNA of Homo sapiens (human), 1037 nucleotides long. NCBI's taxonomy places the organism in Eukaryota, Metazoa, Chordata, Mammalia, Primates, Hominidae. The record is from Ensembl.
GAGAAAGGAAGUGGAGAACGUUCUUGCAAGAUGAUCUGUAUUUUCUCUCUAAAGCAGAGUUCAUUUGCUGAGAAUGAUGGAGAAAAUCAGCAUCUAGCUAAUCAGCUGACCAUGAGAUGCAGAGAUUAUCUGGAAUUAUCCAGAUUGGUCCAUUUAAUUACAUGAGUCCUUAAAAGUGGAAAGUGGAAGAAGAGGCAGAAGAGUGUGUCAGAGAGAUGCUGUGUGAAAAGGACUCAACCUGCCACUUGAGGCUUUGAGGCUGGAGAAAGGGGCCAUGAACCAAGGAUUGUGAGCAGCCUGUAAAAUCUGGAAAAGACAAGGCAAUACCCUUUGCUGUCUCAGGGUCAAACAUGCAACUCCUGCCUGCUUGUAUGGCCAGCUGGGUUCAAGAAGGAAGGAACCUCAUUGUUGACAGUUACCAGAUGAAUGUGCCCCUUCUGUACAGCUAAGAAAUGGAAUAGACAUUGGUGAGUGUUGGAUACAGUUUACAAGCUUGAAAUGCUGGGAAUUCACAUUUGUGAUACUUAAGCAGAUUUUAGUCUCACUGGCUUAUUCCCAAGAAUUGGGUAACAUGUUACAGUUUUUGAUGAUUUGUUGGUUAUUUGUUAUUCUUUGAAAUUCCCAAGGAAUGAGCAAAAUAUCCAGCGGGAAUAUUGAUGUGAGCAAUAGACUUAGCAGUCUCUUUCAUGGGCCAUCAGCUGUGGCACUUCACAUCAUAAACUCCAAAGGCAGGCUAAUCGUGGGUGAAAAUUCACCCUAGUUGGAGGAAGUCCUUGCAAUAAGGAACGACCAAGUUCAAAAUUAUUCUUGGUUUAAAACACAAGGUUUUGAAUCUCAAUAAGGUGAAGGAAAAAACAAGUUGUGUUUACUAGAAAUAAAAAUUUGCUGCCACAGGGAAUUGAGGGAUUAUCAAGCAAGGGUAUAAAGAUUCAGCUUCAAGGAAUGACAGCCAAACAUUUUCCUCAAUAUUUUGCAACAGGUAUCAGGUACCUAAGUUAAGUGAAGAUGAACUUUGAUUUUAUUUGAAUUUAAAUAAU